Molecule: long non-coding RNA, 2909 nt
Filed under: Bemisia tabaci
Lineage: Eukaryota; Metazoa; Arthropoda; Insecta; Hemiptera; Aleyrodidae
Description: lncRNA ENSSSA3NGG002556
Source: RNAcentral
AUGUGUGCCGAUGGACGUCAGUAUGUUGAGCCCAAGUUUAUGAAGCAACUGACAGAGAUGGGAUACAGUGAAAUGCUUGCAAUUCAUGCUCUUCAAGAAGCAAAUAACAGUGUCAGCGAUGCUAUCCAAUAUAUUCAGGAACACCCAGAAACCAAUUUUUUGUCCUCCAGAGAGGACAUCAUUCAGCAGGUAAAAUCUGUUGGACUGGAUGAAACUGCAGUCAAAGUAGCUCUAAAAAACACAAUGGCAACUAUCAGAAAGCCCUUAACGAUCUUCUCCAAAACGCACACACUUUUUUGUCAUGCGGAAUGAACGGGUCAUGCUCAUUCUGGGACAGCCAAAACGAUGAGGAAGAGUUGGAGAAGGAGAAAGAAGCUAUCAGUAGAAUUGCUGAUGAUUUGAAUGUUGAGGCUGAGGAUCAUUUAGACCUAACGUUAAUUCAAGAAGAGCAGUUUCUCAGGAAGUAUUUAGAUUUACUACAGUAAAUUGCUCAGAGUGGAACCGUUUAAUGGCUGUGAAAGGAGUUAUCAGUUCUUCUCAUUCCUAUUCCAGUUUUAUCUCAUCAUAACGUUUCUCAUGACAACAUUUUCCGGGAAACAGAAUUCAUUGUUUCAAAGCCCUGCCAAGCAUUUUUGAUUAAGUGCCACUCAAAAUUAAGUUUUUCUGGAGACAUCGUUCUACUUUCAAUUCUCCUUCAAAAACGUUUUGACGAGAUAUGACUGUAUUUACUUUUCUGCAGCCAUUUUCAGGUAAACAUUUCUGAAGUGGAAAUAUUUUGUUGGAGAUUUUUUAGUGUUAUACUUGGAUCGUAUCAUUGUGUGCUAUUUUUUUAAUAUUGAAAUUGUUUGUUUUUUUCCUGUAUAUUUUAUUAACUCAUUUGUAUGCAAAUACAUUUCUUUCAAGCAUAUUACAGUCUUGAGUUUAAUAUUUCAGGUGAUAACCUCAUUUAUCUGUACUUGCAUCAUUGAAAAGACACGUUUGUAUUUCUAGCCAGCAACUAACUGGCAGCUUUUGGAGUUUAAGACUACCGUACUCAGGAAAAGCGUAGCAGGAGCAUUCAGGCAUUGCCAAAUUUUGUUUUAUGAGAAAUUUUUUUUUAUAAAACUUGUGAAUAUUUUGGGAAUAUACAGAGUGAUCCAGACCACCCGUCCACUAUCUUUUUCUCGAUAACGGCGGAGAAUUGAGACUCGGGUCAAAACUUUCAUGGGUAAAUCGACCCCAAAGAAUCGAAUGAAAAUAUUUUCAGCCCCCAAAAUGGCCCCUUGGGUUUUUUGGGGGGGGGGAGCCCCCUGUUUUUCGCAAUUUUCAAAUAGGAAGGGUACGUUUUGACUUUUGAUUCGGAAUCUACAGUAAAAAAUAAGAACAUUUACUCUUUGCACUUUUUCCCUCAACCCCCAUUAUUAUGUUAUGGGGUAGACUCUGAAAUCAGAGUUAUGGGCCGUUUUCGGGCCUUUUUGGGGCAAUUUUCAAUUCGAUGCUGUAAGCGGCUAAAUUUUCCAAAUUUUAAAAUCUCCUGAGAGGAGAGGUCAAUACCUUUUUAUUGAUGUGCCACAUGACCCCUGUUGCUCCAAAAUUUUGGGAGCCACGACCCCCCAAAAAUUUUGGGGCUUCGGAGGGCCGUAAGUCGAAAAUUUCAAAUGGCAAGGGCAUGUUUUGAUUUCAGAUUUGGAUUCUACGCGAAAAGUUACAUACUGUUUUCUCAAAUUUUUUUUGCCCCUUAGGUAUUUUCUCCAAAAGUACACGGCUUCAAAUGGGGAAAUGGGGUUCUUCAGUAAUUUGGAGCAACAGGGGUCAUGUGGCACAUCAAUAAAAAGGUACCUCUACUCUCAGGAGAUUUUUAGAUUUUGAAAUUUGGAUAAUUUGGCCGCUUACAGCAUCGAAUUGAAAAUUGCCCCCAAAAGGCCCGAAAAUGCCCCAUAACUCCAAAAAAUGGGGGUUUAGGGAAAAAGUGCAAAGAGUAAAAUGUUCUUAUUUUUUACCGUAGAUUCCGAAUCCAAAGUCAAAACAUACCUUUCCUAUUUGAAAAUUGCGAAAAACGGGGGGGCUCCCCCCCAAAAAACCAAUUUGGGGGGCUGAGAAUAUUUUCAUUCGAUUCUUUGGGGUCGAUUUACCUUAUGAAAGUUUUUGUCCUGAGGCUCAAUUCUCCGCCGUUUUCGAGAAAAAGAUAGUGGACGGGUGGUCUGGAUCACCCUGUAUUUGACAUUUUGGGGGGCUUUAAUUUGUAAUUCGAUCUGAAGUAUCUGAAAUUUUGAGGACUACUAAUCAUAACUUUUUGUAAAAAUAAAUGUUUUAUCAGGGAUAGCUGGCAACAAUCAAAUAUUCACAUUGCGUUUUUCCUUAAAGAGCACAAUAUUCCUUAGCUGAUAUCAAUUGAGGCUCCUUUUUGUAAACGUGUUGAUCGAUGAUCACGAAUAGGAGUUGUUACAGAUCAAGUUACAACAUUCGUAUUUUAGAAUCAUAAAGAUAGAGCUACAUAUACUGUUUUACCUAAAAGAAGAUUUGGUAGGAUCCUCUGGGAUCGUUUACUGAUUAACUGACUUUUUUUUGGCAAUGCCUCUUUCUCUGAGAAGGCAGGGAACCUCUAAGAAGGAUUGGUUGGUAAAGAUAACAAUUAAAACAUAGUGUUUGACUAAUCCAAAAUUUGUAAUUACUUACAUGACUUUAUUUACAAUGAGAGUUACAAAAAAUGGAUUAUUGUUGCCAAAGAUUUAACAAUUCAGCAAUAACAAUGGAUGUUUUCUAUGUUCACGGUAAAUAGAUCAUUCCAGGAAAUUUGAUUUGACACUGAGAGGGGGUCUAGUGGUUUCCAUCAAGAGGUCUUGUUAUUGCAGUAUGUGAUAACAACGAAAUAAAAACGAUUAUUUCCCGCAGACAAAUAAUUAUUAUGAACUAAGUAAGGUAAAAACAAU